Molecule: non-coding RNA, 259 nt
Organism: Delphinapterus leucas (beluga whale)
Lineage: Eukaryota; Metazoa; Chordata; Mammalia; Artiodactyla; Monodontidae
Source: RefSeq, a predicted model, not a curated record
UAUUUACUCUGAGUCUCUUUGUCCUUAUCUGUAAAAUGGGACUAAUAGCACCUGCUUUGCUUACUUUUCAGGUUUGUUUAGAGACUGGAAAAGUGAUAAUGCAUGGAAAUUCACUAAUACCUGGUAUGCCAGUUUGACCACAUACUCAGCUAUCUGAACUGACAAUCUGGAUUGUAAAUUGGGCAUGCUUACUUCAUGGAAGCCUCAUGUCUGAACUGGAUUUUCAUCCCAUGUGACUAAGUGGAAAAAUCUUAUGCUC